AGCGGAGGGAGUUGCCAUAGAAACGGAGCGCCAACACAACAACUGACAAGCAGGGAAUCACUGACUUUUGCUGCUGUUUUCAAAGCUUUCGCCUUUCAGGAGAGGAAAAAAACCUCAGCAACAGGGGAAGCUCCAAGAUUUAGCAAUUUCUGAAGGCAGAAGAACUGGGAAAGCUUCUUAAAUUUUUAAGAAGGCUUUGACAUCCAUAAUUACAAGACAUUACGCCAGUUCCAGUUUGGAUCCAGCCUUCAGAAGAUGCUAAGACUCACGAUGACUUCAGAAGAUGCUAACACUCACGAUGACUUCAGAUGAUGACAACUAAAGAUGAACAUACAAGUCUGCCAAAUAAUAUCCUUAUAUUGUGAUCAUUGCCCUA
This is a long non-coding RNA of Carassius carassius (crucian carp), 376 nucleotides long. RefSeq lists it as uncharacterized. The record is from RefSeq and is a predicted model, not a curated record. NCBI's taxonomy places the organism in Eukaryota, Metazoa, Chordata, Actinopteri, Cypriniformes, Cyprinidae. The transcript has 3 exons.